AUAUCUAUGGUUAGCACGUCUGGUAGCAUCUCUGGCUGCUGUUGACCUUCUUUUUGGAGUAAAACACGGUGGAAGCUGAAUUAGUGAGGAUGACUCCUGCUCCUGUCAUCUCUAAGCUCCUCACACAUCUUUACCUGCACAUGAGGAAAAUCACUCCUGUAGAAUGCAGUGGUUCAUCAGAACCUCUGGGGAUGUCCUGUGGAUUCUGUGGAUCCUGUGGGUUGCAGGGUGGGUCCUACCUAGACCAGGCUGAUCCUGGACCAUCCCACAGAUGCUCCAUCAGAUCUGGAUGUGGGGAGUGUGGAACCCAGAUGUUCAGAAGGAGAUGAUGCCACAUCUGGUCCAGACGAUGGAAGGUCUUGAAGUUCUCUGACUGGCCUCGACUGAAGAUGGUCGUCUCACUGGAUUUAAGGUUCAGAUGCUCAGUAACAAACUCCACCAAUGAGCCAACAGGGAAGCUUUAGGUUUAUUAAAUGUUGCUAUGAAGGUUUCGCUGUUUUUCUUUGUGAAUGCAAUGUGCUCCAACUGAAACUUGAAUUAGAACUUAGAAGUAAAUCCUUCCAUCUGAAAGGUUUUAGUUGCAUUAAUAACCUCAUAACAUUCUAAUUUUUAUUCCAGUCUUGGUUGGAAAUAGAAUCUCUGGAUUGAUUCAGGUAAAAACUGAACUUCACAGCAUGUUGCAGCAAAACAACCAGAUGAAAACUGUGAUGGUGUUGGAUUGUCAGACCGUAAUGUUGCAGCUCAAAGCAGCUUUUCUAGCUCAGUUCAUUCUGACAUUCAGCUAUGAAUCAACACAGCAGAUGGUGAUCCAUGCUGUGGAAGUCUCACAUCUCCUGAUUUAAUGGAGCUGCUUUGCACUUUUUACACUGUUUAUUCACCAACACUUUAUUUAAUAAAAGUCCCAUCUAGUUUUUAUGAGGAAUGUGAUGCUUUAAUUUCUCUGUGAAUAACUGCAGUCUAAUGCAACAGCUGGAAUUGUAACAUCUGUCCUGAUAUUGAUCAUGAAGUAUUGAUCAGAAUACUUAUGGUCAGCAGUCAUCCCUGAAGUUUUACUUUAAAAUCUUUACUUGUGAUGUGAACUUUGGUAAGAAGCAGAAACUUUUGCGUUGCCAUGGAUACAUGAGUGUUAAAUUCUGUCCAUGUUUCCAUUUUGGGAAAUUCAGUCCAGCAGAUGAGUUUGUUUUUACUGCCAGCUACCAUUCAGUCUGAGAUAUUAAGAAUAAAUAAAUAUGUAUAAUGUGGAAAUUAACAGAGUUUAUUUUUAUUUAUUCCUACACCUGCUGCAUUUAAAGUUCCAGAAUGUGGAGGAAUUUAGGAUCACAAUAACAGACAAUAAUAUUAUCUGAAAGUCGGGUUAUUGUUGUUUAUCAGCACAAUACAAAAAGAUUAAUGUUAGAAAUAUUCCAGUUAAGACUCUAGAAUAUCAUGAUUUAUCUAAAUUUACCUCAAUAAUAUGAAUGUUCAGGUUAAGAUUGUACAGUGAUAUUUAUUAUGUAAG
Amphiprion ocellaris (clown anemonefish) is the source of this 1498-nucleotide long non-coding RNA. The record is from Ensembl. Lineage: Eukaryota; Metazoa; Chordata; Actinopteri; Pomacentridae.